GGGGCUGUAGCUCAGUGGUAGAGCGCCUGCCUAGCAAGUGUGAGGCGCUAGAUUCAAUUCUCAGCACCA
This is a non-coding RNA of Ictidomys tridecemlineatus (thirteen-lined ground squirrel), 69 nucleotides long. The record is from Rfam. Lineage: Eukaryota; Metazoa; Chordata; Mammalia; Rodentia; Sciuridae.